RNAcentral lists this ribosomal RNA (254 nucleotides) under uncultured bacterium. Its description in RNAcentral is "partial 16S ribosomal RNA". It matches the Rfam family "Bacterial small subunit ribosomal RNA", at positions 524 to 776 of the family's 1533-position model. The record is from RNAcentral.
UACGAAGGGGGCUAGCGUUGUUCGGAAUUACUGGGCGUAAAGCGCACGUAGGCGGAUUGUUAAGUUAGGGGUGAAAUCCCAGGGCUCAACCCUGGAACUGCCUUUAAUACUGGCAAUCUCGAGUCCGAGAGAGGUGAGUGGAAUUCCGAGUGUAGAGGUGAAAAUUCGUAGAUAUUCGGAGGAACACCAGUGGCGAAGGCGGCUCACUGGCUCGGUACUGACGCUGAGGUGCGAAAGCGUGGGGAGCAAACAGG